AGUGAACGCUGGCGGUAGGCCUAACACAUGCAAGUCGAACGGCAGCACAGUAAGAGCUUGCUCUUACGGGUGGCGAGUGGCGGACGGGUGAGGAAUACAUCGGAAUCUACUUUUUCGUGGGGGAUAACGUAGGGAAACUUACGCUAAUACCGCAUACGACCUACGGGUGAAAGCAGGGGAUCUUCGGACCUUGCGCGACUGAAUGAGCCGAUGUCGGAUUAGCUAGUUGGCGGGGUAAAGGCCCACCAAGGCGACGAUCCGUAGCUGGUCUGAGAGGAUGAUCAGCCACACUGGAACUGAGACACGGUCCAGACUCCUACGGGAGGCAGCAGUGGGGAAUAUUGGACAAUGGGCGCAAGCCUGAUCCAGCCAUACCGCGUGGGUGAAGAAGGCCUUCGGGUUGUAAAGCCCUUUUGUUGGGAAAGAAAAGCAGCAGGUUAAUACCCCGCUGUUCUGACGGUACCCAAAGAAUAGGCACCGGCUAACUUCGUG
Molecule: ribosomal RNA, 492 nt
Filed under: uncultured bacterium
Lineage: Bacteria
Description: partial 16S ribosomal RNA
Rfam family: Bacterial small subunit ribosomal RNA
Source: RNAcentral